UGGAAUUAUCAGCUUUUCCAUGGUCAGACUACUUAAUGACACCAUAACCAUUUGGCUAAUUAUCUAUUUCUUGCAAUUUAGUAUAUUAAUACAUCCUAUUUUGUAAACUAAAAUAUGUAAAUACUUCCUUUACUCUGGAAUUCUUGUUGAGCACCAUGCUUCUGAACACCAUCUGUCUCAUGCCAAGAUGAUUGGCUACAGCAAAGAAGUAGCUGAAUUCGUCGCAUCACUGAUGUGAGAGAAUCUCUUGUUCCAUAUGGAGUUGCAUUUUCUUUAACAUGUUGAACCAGAUGGCAUGAAGGACCUUGUUUCAAUGAUAUAUGGGUUCAUAAAUCUUCUCAUCCGUCUCUUGUGGUUCCCAAUUUUUACAGUUCUUACCAUGAUACUUUCAUGCAAUGGCUGAUUGUGUGAUCUUUCAGUUAUUAUUUUUUAUUAUUGUUGUUUAUUCUUUUUGCCCCUUUGAGCACUUAACUCUCAACUGCAGGUGGAACCGGCUGUUGGAGCAGCAUUGCUGGCUUGGAAUCAUUUCAUGAAAGAAUUUAAAGGUGAUCAUGGAAGCUGAUCUGAUUAAAGUUGUCUGAAUAUCAAUGAAGGUGUUUACUUACAGCAACACAUUUAAACAUCGAAGCUGAAAGAAAGAUAAACAGGAAUAUUGCUCAACUGUCACUAGCAGCUCUGUCGGCGUUAAAACUUUCAGCAGUUGUGUGACCUCAUAACUGAAUUUUAUAGUCAACGCAUGCAAUUUCUGUUUUUUCUUUCUCUCUCUUUUUAUCAAUUCAAGGCUU
RNAcentral lists this long non-coding RNA (785 nucleotides) under Phoenix dactylifera (date palm). RNAcentral describes it as "long non-coding RNA (PDAC_LNC018279)". The record is from RNAcentral. Lineage: Eukaryota; Viridiplantae; Streptophyta; Magnoliopsida; Arecales; Arecaceae.